This 550-nucleotide long non-coding RNA is filed under the name Bos indicus x Bos taurus (hybrid cattle). RNAcentral describes it as "lncRNA (ENSBIXG00000023741.1)". The record is from RNAcentral. Lineage: Eukaryota; Metazoa; Chordata; Mammalia; Artiodactyla; Bovidae.
CACCAGCCAAUAGAUUGAUUUGGGGCUGUAGCUUGUUUUUCUAGCAGUUGCUGGAGUUCCUGUUCUCUUUGCCAGCGUGGCUGAAGCUUUUCUAUAACCCUCGGGUUAUAGCAAUGAAUUUCCAUUUAGCCAUGACAAAUGACUUUGCUGCUCCCCUCUCUCUCCACCGGGCCCCCCUCCUUGUUCUGAAGUCUCCCUCUUAGAGGUAGCUCGAGGGCCUUCCCUUAAUGUGACGGGAGCAGGUACUGGCACUUCCAGUCCUCAGAGCUGGUAUCACUCCAGAACAGGCUGAUUAUGAUGCAGAGGGGAGAGAGGCUGGGGUAGGGGAAAGACGAUGAGAAGAGGAAGAUGAGAGCUGGGUUGCAGUGUGAGCCAGCUUUGCCCAGCAGGUCUCUGAGCAAUACUGCAACCCAAGCAGGACCAAGAAGUCUGGUCUCAGAGCACUGCCAGGACUCUUUCCACAUUUGAGAAAAUGAGGCAACCUCCCUGUUCUGCCAGUCUCGCAGAGCUAGCCUCUUUCCACUUCUGAGAAAAUGAGGUGAGCUCCCUG